Small nucleolar RNA from Cephalotus follicularis, 106 nucleotides. It matches the Rfam family "Plant small nucleolar RNA R71". Rfam says of the family: R71 is a member of the C/D box family of snoRNAs containing the C (UGAUGA) and D (CUGA) box motifs. Multiple nearly identical copies of this snoRNA have been identified in Arabidopsis, and it is thought to function as a 2'-O-ribose methylation guide for 18S ribosomal RNA. The record is from Rfam. NCBI's taxonomy places the organism in Eukaryota, Viridiplantae, Streptophyta, Magnoliopsida, Oxalidales, Cephalotaceae.
CAGCAUGAUGAAGACAUUUUCUGAUGAGAUCCUUUAAUCUUUCCCAUGAUUCAUGGAACUACUCAUUAUCGUGCUAUGAAAAGCUAGUAAGAGCUCACCUUAUCUG